Molecule: ribosomal RNA, 292 nt
Filed under: Escherichia coli
Lineage: Bacteria; Pseudomonadati; Pseudomonadota; Gammaproteobacteria; Enterobacterales; Enterobacteriaceae
Description: partial 23S ribosomal RNA
Rfam family: Bacterial large subunit ribosomal RNA
Source: RNAcentral
GUUAAGCGACUAAGCGUACACGGUGGAUGCCCUGGCAGUCAGAGGCGAUGAAGGACGUGCUAAUCUGCGAUAAGCGUCGGUAAGGUGAUAUGAACCGUUAUAACCGGCGAUUUCCGAAUGGGGAAACCCAGUGUGAUUCGUCACACUAUCAUUAACUGAAUCCAUAGGUUAAUGAGGCGAACCGGGGGAACUGAAACAUCUAAGUACCCCGAGGAAAAGAAAUCAACCGAGAUUCCCCCAGUAGCGGCGAGCGAACGGGGAGCAGCCCAGAGCCUGAAUCAGUGUGUGUGUU